Molecule: ribosomal RNA, 465 nt
Filed under: Vreelandella stevensii
Lineage: Bacteria; Pseudomonadati; Pseudomonadota; Gammaproteobacteria; Oceanospirillales; Halomonadaceae
Description: partial 16S ribosomal RNA
Rfam family: Bacterial small subunit ribosomal RNA
Source: RNAcentral
CCUACGGGAGGCAGCAGUGGGGAAUAUUGGACAAUGGGGGGAACCCUGAUCCAGCCAUGCCGCGUGUGUGAAGAAGGCCCUCGGGUUGUAAAGCACUUUCAGUGAGGAAGAACGCCUGGUGGUUAAUACCCAUCAGGAAAGACAUCACUCACAGAAGAAGCACCGGCUAACUCCGUGCCAGCAGCCGCGGUAAUACGGAGGGUGCGAGCGUUAAUCGGAAUUACUGGGCGUAAAGCGCGCGUAGGUGGCUUGAUAAGCCGGUUGUGAAAGCCCCGGGCUCAACCUGGGAACGGCAUCCGGAACUGUCAAGCUAGAGUGCAGGAGAGGAAGGUAGAAUUCCCGGUGUAGCGGUGAAAUGCGUAGAGAUCGGGAGGAAUACCAGUGGCGAAGGCGGCCUUCUGGACUGACUCUGACACUGAGGUGCGAAAGCGUGGGUAGCAAACAGGAUUAGAUACCCGAGUAGUC